Molecule: ribosomal RNA, 497 nt
Filed under: uncultured bacterium
Lineage: Bacteria
Description: bacterial SSU rRNA
Rfam family: Bacterial small subunit ribosomal RNA
Source: RNAcentral
GGCAAGCUGGCGGCGUGUCGUAUACAUGCAGUCCAGCGGACUCCUUCGGGAGUGAGCGGCGGACGGGUGAGGAACACGUGGGCAAUCUGCCCAUUGGACUGGAAUAACGCCUGGAAACGGGUGCUAAGGCCAGAUAGGCACAGAAGAGGCCUCUCUUUUGUGGGAAAGAUGCUAUGGCAUCGCCAGUGGAGGAGCCCGCGGCGCAUUAGCUAGUUGGAGGGGUAACGGCCCACCAAGACGACGAUGCGUAGCCGACCUGAGAGGGUGAACGGCCACACUGGGACUGAGACACGGCCCAGACUCCUACGGGAGGCAGCAGUAGGGAAUCUUCCGCAAUGGGCGCAAGCCUGACGGAGCAACGCCGCGUAAGCGAAGAAGGCCUUCGGGUUGUAAAGCUUAGUCACUCGGGAAGAGCGGGUGGGAGAGGGAAUGCUCCCACCGAGACGGUACCGGGAGAGGGAAGCCCCGGCAAACUACGUGCCAGCAGCCGCGGUAAU